Sapajus apella (tufted capuchin) is the source of this 245-nucleotide long non-coding RNA. RefSeq lists it as uncharacterized. The record is from RefSeq and is a predicted model, not a curated record. NCBI's taxonomy places the organism in Eukaryota, Metazoa, Chordata, Mammalia, Primates, Cebidae. The transcript has 4 exons.
CCUUUGUUGUAAUUUCAAGAUGUUCACAGUAUCUAUACCAGUAGUAGAUUCCAUCCCAAGAAAUGACUUUCUUUGCUCAUCCAUAAGAAGCAACUUAUCCAUUCAAGUUUUAUUAUGAUAUUGCAGCAAUUCAAGUCACACCUUCAUGCUGUACUCAUAUUCUAGUUAUCUUGCUAUUUCUACUACAUCUGCUGUUAAUUUCCCCUGUUGAAGUCUUGAACCUCUCAGACAUCUAUGAGAGUUAG